GUGCUUACUUCAGCAGCACAGAUACUAAAAUUGGAAAAAUGCAGAGAUUAGCCUGUCCCCUGAACAAGGAUGACACAGAUUUGUGAAACAUUCAAUUUUUUU
Pongo abelii (Sumatran orangutan) is the source of this 102-nucleotide small nuclear RNA. NCBI's taxonomy places the organism in Eukaryota, Metazoa, Chordata, Mammalia, Primates, Hominidae. The record is from Ensembl.